Molecule: ribosomal RNA, 547 nt
Filed under: uncultured bacterium
Lineage: Bacteria
Description: partial 16S ribosomal RNA
Rfam family: Bacterial small subunit ribosomal RNA
Source: RNAcentral
UGGGAAUUUGGACAAUGGGCGAAAGCCUGAUCCAGCAAUGCCGCGUGUGUGAAGAAGGCCUUCGGGUUGUAAAGCACUUUUGUCCGGAAAGAAAUCCUUGGCUCUAAUACAGUCGGGGGAUGACGGUACCGGAAGAAUAAGCACCGGCUAACUACGUGCCAGCAGCCGCGGUAAUACGUAGGGUGCAAGCGUUAAUCGGAAUUACUGGGCGUAAAGCGUGCGCAGGCGGUUUGCUAAGACCGAUGUGAAAUCCCCGGGCUCAACCUGGGAACUGCAUUGGUGACUGGCAGGCUAGAGUAUGGCAGAGGGGGGUAGAAUUCCACGUGUAGCAGUGAAAUGCGUAGAGAUGUGGAGGAAUACCGAUGGCGAAGGCAGCCCCCUGGGCCAAUACUGACGCUCAUGCACGAAAGCGUGGGGAGCAAACAGGAUUAGAUACCCUGGUAGUCCCACGCCCCUAAACGAUGUCAACUAGUUGUUGGGGAUUCAUUUCCUUAGUAACGUAGCUAACGCGUGAAGUUGACCGCCUGGGGAGUACGGUCGCAAGAUU